This 206-nucleotide unclassified non-coding RNA is filed under the name Hevea brasiliensis (rubber tree). Lineage: Eukaryota; Viridiplantae; Streptophyta; Magnoliopsida; Malpighiales; Euphorbiaceae. The record is from RNAcentral.
GUUUCUUUUUCCCAUCGCGAACCAUUUCUCUGUUCUUCUUGUUAUCAUACCGGCUGCAUGAUUCAUUACCUUUCUUUUGUCGAACAACAGAAACAUUACGUUUCAAUUUCUUUAUAAGAAAUCGCUUUAAUUUUUGUACAGGUCCGUCACAAUGCUGUUGAAUUACCUCAUUGUUACAUUGAACCUUAUUGGGCUUUUUAUCUACU